This 496-nucleotide ribosomal RNA is filed under the name uncultured bacterium. Its description in RNAcentral is "partial 16S ribosomal RNA". It matches the Rfam family "Bacterial small subunit ribosomal RNA", at positions 28 to 507 of the family's 1533-position model. The record is from RNAcentral.
GAUGAACGCUGGCGGCGUGCCUAAUACAUGCAAGUCGAGCGAACAGACGAGGAGCUUGCUCCUCUGACGUUAGCGGCGGACGGGUGAGUAACACGUGGAUAACCUACCUAUAAGACUGGGAUAACUUCGGGAAACCGGAGCUAAUACCGGAUAAUAUAUUGAACCGCAUGGUUCAAUAGUGAAAGACGGUUUUGCUGUCACUUAUAGAUGGAUCCGCGCCGCAUUAGCUAGUUGGUAAGGUAACGGCUUACCAAGGCAACGAUGCGUAGCCGACCUGAGAGGGUGAUCGGCCACACUGGACCUGAGACACGGUCCAGACCCCUACGGGAGGCAGCAGUAGGGAUCUUCCGCAAUGGGCGAAAGCUUGACGGAGCAACGCCGCGUGAGUGAUGAAGGUCUUCGGAUCGUAAAACUCUGUUAUUAGGGAAGAACAAAUGUGUAAGUAACUAUGCACGUCUUGACGGUACCUAAUCAGAAAGCCACGGCUAACUACGUG